GGGGACGUAGUAUAACCUGGCUAGAAUAGUUGGCUCCAGACCAACGGAUUGGGGUUCGAAUCCCCACGUCCCCA
This 74-nucleotide transfer RNA is filed under the name Nanobdellota archaeon. Its description in RNAcentral is "tRNA-Trp". It matches the Rfam family "tRNA". From Rfam's summary of the family: Transfer RNA (tRNA) molecules are approximately 80 nucleotides in length. Their secondary structure includes four short double-helical elements and three loops (D, anti-codon, and T loops). The record is from RNAcentral. Lineage: Archaea; Nanobdellati; Nanobdellota.